Molecule: long non-coding RNA, 394 nt
Organism: Phyllopteryx taeniolatus (common seadragon)
Lineage: Eukaryota; Metazoa; Chordata; Actinopteri; Syngnathiformes; Syngnathidae
Exons: 3
Source: RefSeq, a predicted model, not a curated record
AGUUGCAACCGGUUUUGACAGGUUGCGUCUGUCAAUCACAACUUUUCAACUGACGAAGAAAGCAGAGCAGCUUUGAUUUGGAGCAAGCAGAGAGGACUAGGACAGUGCUACGACGUCAGCGUCGUUUACCUUCAAGGAUUCAGUAAUUGGGUAUAUCCGAAUCGAUAAUGAUUCCCGAAAUUGAUACCAGGACAAAGACGUAGGUAAUCAAAACGUCACUAUCUGAUCAAUACAGAAAUAUCAAUACUAGGAUACCAGCCCGGUAUCCUGGUAUUGGUUCCAGGUUGUGGAAUCGCUUUGGACAAAAACAUCAAUAAUUGAACAUUUAAUGUUUUAAAAUCACGAUUAUCAGCUCAAAUUCUGAUAAUUCUUCAAUAAAACAAAAUAAAACAAU